GGUACUCUGUGUGUUUUGUUUAACCUUUGAACAAAAAAGUAAAUAUAUAAAAUAGGUAUAAAAAAUUUGUCCUCUUUUGAAACUCAGAACUCAUUGUUAAUUAUGAGUUUUGAUACAUAUAGAAAGGAAUAUU
Molecule: small nucleolar RNA, 133 nt
Organism: Cavia porcellus (domestic guinea pig)
Lineage: Eukaryota; Metazoa; Chordata; Mammalia; Rodentia; Caviidae
Rfam family: Small nucleolar RNA SNORA40
About the family: The snoRNA ACA 40 belongs to the H/ACA family of snoRNAs and guides the pseudouridylation of 28S rRNA subunit at position U4565. NB This family has a high threshold value to exclude a large number of closely related sequences that do not appear to have conserved H and ACA boxes, and may be pseudogenes.
Source: Rfam